ACACAAGCUGUUAAAUUAGAUGUUUGGAAAGAGGCUAUGGCUAAUGAAAUCUCAGCUUUAAAGCAAAAUCAUACUUGGAAGCUUGUUAAUUUGCCUCCUGGAAAGGUACCUAUUGGCUGUAAAUGGGUUUAUAGGAUUAAAUAUAAAGCAUAUGGUACUAUAGAGAGAUACAAGGCUAGGCUUAUAGGAAAGGGAUAUACUCAGACUAAAGGAAUUGAUUUCUUUGAUACCUUUAGUCUUGUUGCUAAAAUGACUACAAUAAGAAUUCUUCUAGCUCUUGCUACAAUUAAUGGUUGGUACUUGCAACAACUUGAUGUUAAUAAUGCUUUUCUUCAUGGAGAUUUGCAUGAGGAGGUGUAUAUGGUAUUGCCACCUAGUUUCCAAUCUCUUGAACCUAAUCAAGUUUGCCAAUUACAAAAAUCUCUAUAUGGUUUAAAACAAGCUAGCCGUCAGUGG
RNAcentral lists this unclassified non-coding RNA (456 nucleotides) under Hevea brasiliensis (rubber tree). Lineage: Eukaryota; Viridiplantae; Streptophyta; Magnoliopsida; Malpighiales; Euphorbiaceae. The record is from RNAcentral.